RNAcentral lists this ribosomal RNA (253 nucleotides) under uncultured bacterium. RNAcentral's name for it is "partial 16S ribosomal RNA". It matches the Rfam family "Bacterial small subunit ribosomal RNA", at positions 524 to 776 of the family's 1533-position model. The record is from RNAcentral.
UACAGAGGGUGCAAGCGUUGCUCGGAAUCAUUGGGCGUAAAGGGCAGGUAGGUGGUCUCGUUUGUCUGGGGUGAAAGCCCAGGGCUUAACCCUGGAAGUGCCCCGGAAACGGCGAGACUGGAGUCUUGGAGAGGGUCGUGGAAUUCCCGGUGUAGCGGUGAAAUGCGUAGAGAUCGGGAGGAACACCAGAGGCGAAGGCGGCGAUCUGGGAACAUACUGACGCUGAGGUGCGAAAGCGUGGGGAGCAAACAGG